RNAcentral lists this small RNA (125 nucleotides) under Marmota monax (woodchuck). The record is from RNAcentral. Lineage: Eukaryota; Metazoa; Chordata; Mammalia; Rodentia; Sciuridae.
ACCAGGCAUGGUGGCGCAUGCCUGUAAUCCCAGCAGCUCAGGAGGCUGAGGCAGGAGGAUCAAGAGUUCAAAGCCAGCCUAAAUAAAAGUGAAGCACUAAGCAACUCAGUGAGACCCUGUCUCUA